UAGAGACCGGCGCACGGGUGCGUAACGCGUAUGCAAUCUACCUUUUACAGAGGGAUAGCCCAGAGAAAUUUGGAUUAAUACCUCAUAGUAUAUAGCCCUGGCAUCAGGAUUAUAUUAAAGUCACAACGGUAAAAGAUGAGCAUGCGUCCCAUUAGCUAGUUGGUAAGGUAACGGCUUACCAAGGCUACGAUGGGUAGGGGUCCUGAGAGGGAGAUCCCCCACACUGGUACUGAGACACGGACCAGACUCCUACGGGAGGCAGCAGUGAGGAAUAUUGGACAAUGGGCGCAAGCCUGAUCCAGCCAUGCCGCGUGCAGGAUGACGGUCCUAUGGAUUGUAAACUGCUUUUAUACGAGAAGAAACACUGCUUCGUGAAGCAGCUUGACGGUAUCGUAAGAAUAAGGAUCGGCUAACUCCGUGCCAGCAGCCGCGGUAAUACGGAGGAUCCAAGCGUUAUCCGGAAUCAUUGGGUUUAAAGGGUCCGUAGGCGGUUUAAUAAGUCAGUGGUGAAAGCCCAUCGCUCAACGGUGGAACGGCCAUUGAUACUGUUAAACUUGAAUUAUUAGGAAGUAACUAGAAUAUGUAGUGUAGCGGUGAAAUGCUUAGAGAUUACAUGGAAUACCAAUUGCGAAGGCAGGUUACUACUAAUGGAUUGACGCUGAUGGACGAAAGCGUGGGUAGCGAACAGGAUUAGAUACCCUGGUAGUCCACGCCGUAAACGAUGGAUACUAGCUGUUGGAAGCAAUUUCAGUGGCUAAGCGAAAGUGAUAAGUAUCCCACCUGGGGAGUACGUUCGCAAGAAUGAAACUCAAAGGAAUUGACGGGGGCCCGCACAAGCGGUGGAGCAUGUGGUUUAAUUCGAUGAUACGCGAGGAACCUUACCAAGGCUUAAAUGUAGAUUGACCGGUUUGGAAACAGAUCUUUCGCAAGACAAUUUACAAGGUGCUGCAUGGUUGUCGUCAGCUCGUGCCGUGAGGUGUCAGGUUAAGUCCUAUAACGAGCGCAACCCCUGUUGUUAGUUGCCAGCGAGUCAAGUCGGGAAC
RNAcentral lists this ribosomal RNA (1043 nucleotides) under Flavobacterium piscis. RNAcentral describes it as "bacterial SSU rRNA". It matches the Rfam family "Bacterial small subunit ribosomal RNA", at positions 89 to 1138 of the family's 1533-position model. Lineage: Bacteria; Pseudomonadati; Bacteroidota; Flavobacteriia; Flavobacteriales; Flavobacteriaceae. The record is from RNAcentral.